GACGAACGCUGGCGGCGUGCUUAACACAUGCAAGUCGAACGGAAAGGCUCUAGCUUGUUGGUGUUCUCGAUUGGCGAACGCGUGAGUAACACGUGUGCAACCUGCCCUGCACUUUGGUAUAAGCCUGCGAAACUGGGUCUAAUACCGUAUAGGACCUUUCUCCCCAUGGGGUUCGGUGGAUAGUUUUUCGGUGCAGGAUGGGCGCGCGGCCUAUCGGCUUGUUGGGGGGGUAAUGGCCGACCAAGGCGACGACGGGUAGCCGGCCUGAGAGGGGGGUCGGCCACAUUGGGCCUGAGAUACGGCGCAGACGCCAACGGGAGGCAGCAGUGGGGAGUAUUGCACAAUGGGAGAAAGCCUGAUGCAGAGACGCUGCGUGAGGGAUGACGGCCUUCGGGUUGUAAACCGCCUUCAGUAGGGACGAAGCGCAAGUGACGGUACCUGAAGAAGAAGCACCGGCUAACUACGUG
RNAcentral lists this ribosomal RNA (467 nucleotides) under uncultured bacterium. RNAcentral describes it as "partial 16S ribosomal RNA". It matches the Rfam family "Bacterial small subunit ribosomal RNA", at positions 28 to 507 of the family's 1533-position model. The record is from RNAcentral.